RNAcentral lists this long non-coding RNA (598 nucleotides) under Olea europaea subsp. europaea. Lineage: Eukaryota; Viridiplantae; Streptophyta; Magnoliopsida; Lamiales; Oleaceae. The record is from RNAcentral.
CUUCCCCCAAGGUCUGAGAGAUCAAAAGAAGACAGAAUUCAUUCAACUUAAACAGGAAAAAAUGAAACUUGAGGAUUAUGAGAGAAAAUUCAAACAACUCUCAAGGUAUGCACCACUCCUAGUGGACACUAAAGCAAAGAAAUUAAGGAGGUUCAAAUUGGGAUUGCAUCCUGAGAUUGGUGGAAUAUUGGCAUCCCACCAAUUCACCACCUAUAUCCGAAUAUUGCAGACUACCCAAGCAAUCUCAAAUAGGUUGGAAAUUGACCAAACUCCCCAGCAAGGGGCUGAGUCUUCAGGAAAGAGGAAAUGGAAUGGGUCCAACAAAGAGAAAGGGGAAGGAUAGAACAAGAAGUUUAACUUCAGAUCAAGUUUUAGACAAGUCGUUCCACCCUAUCCAAAGUGCAACAAAAUGCAUAGGGGUGAAUGUUUAUUUGGGAAGCAUGUGUGCUAUCGAUGCGGUAAAAAAUGGCAUAUUUUCAAAACUUGCAAAGAAGACCCUUCGAAGAAGAAUGACGAGCCAGAAAAGAAGGGAAGUGCCCGAGUUUUUGAUUUAGCCUAGGGACAGGCCACGGAAGACCCGAAUGCAGGUAAAUUUAGA